CCUUUGCUGAUGAGUAACCGCUUUUUUGACUUUCGUUCUUCUGAGCUCGCUGAAGCGACGUUUAUUGAGCUGAGGAGG
This is a small nucleolar RNA of Chroicocephalus ridibundus (black-headed gull), 78 nucleotides long. RefSeq annotates it as small nucleolar RNA SNORD59. Lineage: Eukaryota; Metazoa; Chordata; Aves; Charadriiformes; Laridae. The transcript has a single exon. The record is from RefSeq and is a predicted model, not a curated record.